Molecule: long non-coding RNA, 754 nt
Organism: Etheostoma spectabile (orangethroat darter)
Lineage: Eukaryota; Metazoa; Chordata; Actinopteri; Perciformes; Percidae
Exons: 7
Source: RefSeq, a predicted model, not a curated record
UUUUUCUUCUUCUAGGCAUCCUUCAGGAUACCCAAAGCACGCGGGUGCUGUGAAGGACCCAAGCGUAUAUAAACCGUGGCCGGACAUUUGUCCAGCCUCUCGUUCGCAACUCUUUAAGCAGUUGGACUCAAAUAUGAUAUCGGGAUUAUCCACGAUACCUCGAAAAGAAGGUCAAAUAAUGAAGCUCCUAGUCGAGUUUCGAACUGCGAAGACCAAGUUCGUCGAUGGGUGAAUAAAGAUAACGCAGACUGAAUGGCUGCAGCUGUCUCAUCAGGUGCCUCAGAGCACUGGAACAAGAUUUCCAUCUUCUGGAUACUACAGUAGUCCCACUGUGUGGUGACCAGCUGGACUAUGGAGACUGCUCUCUGCUGCUUCCACACUGAGUUGCCGUGACAGCGCCACAGCUGUACAACUUCCUGGAAGGGAUUCAAUUUCAAAAUGAGGACUUGCAGCCCAAGCUGGAUGACAUUGGGACAGAAUGAAUGGACCAGGUUUAUGUGAUGGAACGGGGCUUUGCAGAGUUUCCUUAGACUUGACUUUAAGGUGAUACUGAAGUGCUGAGAAUGAACCCUGGAAUUGAUGUGCCUUCACCGAUGCUGCAACUCGUGAAUUAGGACUGCUACAAGAUUAAUUAAUCCAGGAAGUUAAGCCAUCUAGAGACAUUCCAUUGUUCUACACUUUUGUGCAAGCUUUUCUCAACAGGCAUUUUCAUGGAAGUGCAUUUCGAGAAAUUUCAAAUAAAGGGUUGACAACA